GUUUGGUGGAGAACUCUUCAGAGUCAUUUAAGUGAUUCCCUCCCUCACCCCUCUCCACUUUUCCCCAGGGCUUCCGUCUAAGUUCCAAAGUGCUUUUGAGGAGCCAAAAGGUCAAGGAUGGAGCGCACCUGUCCUCCCCACCAUCUGCCCACAGCAGCACCCCUACGACAACCAUCGCCCCUUCUGGUCAUCACCAGGCACACCCGAGCAGCAAGGUCUUACAAGAUACGGUGUCACGGCGGCUGUCGUAGACACGGGAUCUCACAAAGACAGCCCCACGAGUGAGAUGAACGGCCCUUCAGUCCGGUGAGACUGCGGGUCCUUGGAGACGAGGUCAGGUGUGCACAGACUGUGACCUAGUUGAUGGCAGGUCAUUAACUUCCAGAACCGUCAGCUGUCCUUGAGCCCCCAGGGCACUGGCAUCCUGAAACACGAAAGACUCCAGAGCCCCUGCCUUGCCAGCAUCUCUGAUAUCUGAGCAGCGGAGAGUGGCAGCCCCGAGGGCUUUGGGACGUGUGCCCGCCAGUAACUGGGAUUCAGUGCCAGUGCCCACUAACAAACGGUGGCCUCCAGGAGGUCCCACAAGCCCCUCUCACUUUGCACUUUCCUGGGGGCACAACCGACGUCAAUAGUGAAGAAGAAGCCAAGCAUCCUGCACAGGAAAGAAUUUGCCGCAAAUGAGGUCUGGCCCUUGUGCUCAGCUUCCGGCAUGGACUCCGCGUCAUUCGUGACAGGAUACACCAGAUCGUAGGGUGGGAUCGGCCACAGCUGAUCGUUGGAGGGGGAGAGCUGGCCCUGCCAGAAAGACCAAGCCCGUGACUUAGGUGGGGGACUUUGGCGGAGAGCAACCAGUGGACAAUCACUCAGUCGUGUCAAGGUAAGGAGACCCCAAAACUUCUGCACAUCAAGGCUCAGGUGAGCUUCCCCAGUGGCGAAUAGCCCAUGUGUGACAAAACACAUCGAUGCCAGGGAGUCAGAAGCGGGCGUUUGGGACCCUCGCGCACACUGCUCCUUGUGUCUCUUCCUUUGGCUGAUUCUAAUCUGUAUUCUUUUCCUAUGAUUUAGCGUAACUGUGGGUAUAAUAGCUCUCAGCGGGUUCUGUAAGUCUUCCUUCUAGUGAAUUAUCAAAACUGAGGGGCGUUUGUGAACUCACUCCCACAACCUUGCUGUGGUGUCAGAAGUGAGGACAGUCUUGGGGGCUGUGCCUUCAAACCUCAUAGUCU
RNAcentral lists this long non-coding RNA (1223 nucleotides) under Ursus maritimus (polar bear). Its description in RNAcentral is "lncRNA (ENSUMAG00000007460.1)". The record is from RNAcentral. Lineage: Eukaryota; Metazoa; Chordata; Mammalia; Carnivora; Ursidae.